This 60-nucleotide transfer RNA is filed under the name Neoscona scylla. Its description in RNAcentral is "tRNA-Lys". Lineage: Eukaryota; Metazoa; Arthropoda; Arachnida; Araneae; Araneidae. The record is from RNAcentral.
AGAAUAGUGGCCGAAUAUAAGGUGUUAAUCUCUUAAAUUAAUUAUGAAUAUAUUAGUUUA